RNAcentral lists this ribosomal RNA (318 nucleotides) under Triticum aestivum (bread wheat). Its description in RNAcentral is "partial small subunit ribosomal RNA". The record is from RNAcentral. Lineage: Eukaryota; Viridiplantae; Streptophyta; Magnoliopsida; Poales; Poaceae.
AUGCACGGAGCACUUGAGAGAAUUUGCUUGCAAGAGAUCAGUGGUGGUGGAGGAAGGGCUGAAGUCAGUGAAGGAGCGGGAGUCAAGACAGCAGUGGAGAGGGUCUAUGUUCAAAGUCACCUGCCUCGUCAAGUGUGGUGUGGGGGUAGGCGUGCAAACGGGACGACAGGAACACCAUUUGUGGGAGAUGGAGACCCUGCGCUCACUCGCAUCCUAGCCUUCUCUCUUAAUUUUAUUUCGCAGCUUUCGGAAAAUCCUCAAAAGGACCGAAACUAUGUAUUACCUCCGCCCCGAAUUACUUGUCUUAAAUUCUUCUAG